AAAUUGAAGAGUUUGAUCAUGGCUCAGAUUGAACGCUGGCGGCAGGCCUAACACAUGCAAGUCGAACGGUAACAGGAAGAAGCUUGCUCUUUGCUGACGAGUGGCGGACGGGUGAGUAAUGUCUGGGAAACUGCCUGAUGGAGGGGGAUAACUACUGGAAACGGUAGCUAAUACCGCAUAACGUCGCAAGACCAAAGAGGGGGACCUUCGGGCCUCUUGCCAUCGGAUGUGCCCAGAUGGGAUUAGCUAGUAGGUGGGGUAACGGCUCACCUAGGCGACGAUCCCUAGCUGGUCUGAGAGGAUGACCAGCCACACUGGAACUGAGACACGGUCCAGACUCCUACGGGAGGCAGCAGUGGGGAAUAUUGCACAAUGGGCGCAAGCCUGAUGCAGCCGUAUGCAGCAUGCCGCGUGUAUGAAGAAGGCCUUCGGGUUGUAAAGUACUUUCAGCGGGGAGGAAGGUGUUGUGGUUAAUAACCGCAGCAAUUGACGUUACCCGCAGAAGAAGCACCGGCUAACUCCGUGCCAGCAGCCGCGGUAAUACGGAGGGUGCAAGCGUUAAUCGGAAUUAGUGGGCGUAAAGCGCACGCAGGCGGUCUGUCAAGUCGGAUGUGAAAUCCCCGGGCUCAACCUGGGAACUGCAUCUGAUACUGGCAAGCUUGAGUCUCGUAGAGGGGGGUAGAAUUCCAGGUGUAGCGGUGAAAUGCGUAGAGAUCUGGAGGAAUACCGGUGGCGAAGGCGGCCCCCUGGACGAAGACUGACGCUCAGGUGCGAAAGCGUGGGGAGCAAACAGGAUUAGAUACCCUGGUAGUCCACGCCGUAAACGAUGUCUACUUGGAGGUUGUGCCCUUGAGGCGUCCGUUCCGGAGCUAACGCGUUAAGUCGACCGCCUGGGGAGUACGGCCGCAACGUUAAAACUCAAAUGAAUUGACGGGGGCCCGCACAAGCGGUGGAGCAUGUGGUUUAAUUCGAUGCAACGCGAAGAACCUUACCUGGUCUUGACAUCCACGGAAGUUUUCAGAGAUGAGAAUGUGCCUUCGGGAACCGUGAGACAGGUGCUGCAUGGCUGUCGUCAGCUCGUGUUGUGAAAUGUUGGGUUAAGUCCCGCAACGAGCGCAACCCUUAUCCUUUGUUGCCAGCGGUCCGGCCGGGAACUCAAAGGAGACUGCCAGUGAUAAACUGGAGGAAGGUGGGGAUGACGUCAAGUCAUCAUGGCCCUUACGACCAGGGCUACACACGUGCUACAAUGGCCCAUACAAAGAGAACCGACCUCGCGAGAGCAAGCGGUCCUCAUAAAGUGCGUCGUAGUCCGGAUUGGAGUCUGCAACUCGACUCCAUGAAGUCGGAAUCGCUAGUAAUCGUGGAUCAGAAUGCCACGGUGAAUACGUUCCCGGGCCUUGUACACACCGCCCGUCACACCAUGGGAGUGGGUUGCAAAAGAAGUAGGUAGCUUAACCUUCGGGAGGGCGCUUACCACUUUGUGAUUCAUGACUGGGGUGAAGUCGUAACAAGGUAACCGUAGGGGAACCUGCGGUUGGAUCACCUCCUUA
Molecule: ribosomal RNA, 1550 nt
Filed under: Salmonella enterica subsp. enterica serovar Waycross
Lineage: Bacteria; Pseudomonadati; Pseudomonadota; Gammaproteobacteria; Enterobacterales; Enterobacteriaceae
Description: bacterial SSU rRNA
Rfam family: Bacterial small subunit ribosomal RNA
Source: RNAcentral